This is a long non-coding RNA of Dermochelys coriacea (leatherback sea turtle), 1150 nucleotides long. RefSeq lists it as uncharacterized. The transcript has 3 exons. NCBI's taxonomy places the organism in Eukaryota, Metazoa, Chordata, Testudines, Dermochelyidae. The record is from RefSeq and is a predicted model, not a curated record.
CUUUUUCUACAGUUCCAGCAACUUGUCUCAUUCCCCUGCCUUCAGCUUCAUGAUGCUCUUUCUCGGGGAGUCAGCUAAGCCCUGCCAGAAGAAGUUGUGAGACUGACCUAUUGACAAGGAUCCAAGUCACACAUCACUUGAGGCAUGAAGAUCACACACAAUUCACUGCAGUCCUAAGGGUGUGUUAAUUUUAAUGUGUGAUGGUGAAAAAAGGUGAUUCAAAAAGGAAGCUAAAAGAUCCUAUUGCACCUUCUGAAAAUACUGAGAGAAACUUGGUAUCCUGUUUUAAACACUACUGGACUUUGAACAUUUUCUCUCUCGGCGGGAGUGUGUGAGCUAUUGCUUAGCUCAUAGGAGCUGCUAUGAAUAAUUUAUUUGUAAACUAGUGGGAUGAGUGAGCAGCAUCAGAACACAACAAGAGGCAGUAAGGUGCAUUCAGCAGGACUGACCCUCUAGCAACAAACCAAAGAGUUACGAACAAGAGCAUUUCUCAGCGGGAUAUCAACAGACCUUCGGACUCAGGCAUUCUCCUCUUCCAGUCUUUCCAGCAACCCUUCUCAUACCUGUUUCCUUCACACUGAGAAGGAGAAAGGGAAGGUGGAGUUCUGGUCUGAUGCACAGGAGCCCAGAUAGUACCUCUGCAUUCUGGUACAAGCGCUCUGGAAUAAUUUGAGAAAAAUACAUGAUUUAAACCUCUUUUGUCUUGUCCUGAGAGCUAAGCAAGGGCUGAAGCUGGAGUUUAGACACCAAUCAUCCCUGUGAAGCCAUUAUUUGAUACUAUAUUUUAGUGUGUAGGUUUUUACUUGUAAUUGCACUAGUCUAAUCCACAAAGCUAAAAUUUCAUUUAAAUGUGCAUGUCAGAUGCUCUUGCCCACAAUUUCACAGACUUCACUCAAGGAAAGAAAACUACUCCUAAAACAUAUUAAAAUAAUAGUUCCAAUAAUAACACACAGGUGGAGCUCAUCUGAAGUAAUGAGGUUCUGAACAGAUGUUUAGUGUAAACAACACUUUUUGUGACCUAAAAGCUAAGCCAGCUUUCAUGUUGCUUCUAAAUGGCUUGUUUUGUUCCCUCUGAACAAAACUGGAAAAGCAAGUCUCAUCUCUGCUUUCUUCUUGUGAUGCUGGUGCUUAUGAAAAGGAGGUGUAAAUA